Molecule: long non-coding RNA, 1129 nt
Organism: Oreochromis niloticus (Nile tilapia)
Lineage: Eukaryota; Metazoa; Chordata; Actinopteri; Cichliformes; Cichlidae
Exons: 2
Source: RefSeq, a predicted model, not a curated record
GGAAAUGGUUCUCAGCAUAUCCUAAUAAUGUGGAUGUCUGCUUCUGAUUUGAAUAAAGAAAAGAUGAGUACUGUGGAGAAAUUUGUGUAUGAACAAAGAUGUCACAGUUUGUUCAUUUUAUGAGGUCUAAUUUACAUAACAGUUCACAGAGUAAAGAACAGCAUAACUUUUGUACUGUACCUUUCAUGUGAUCUGACUAUAAAAGAAAAAUGCUUUAAAUUCCUGGAUCAAUUGACAUUUAUGAGUUAGUUUGCUUUAGCAAAUUGUGUGUUUUGACAUUUUUGUCAGAUGAAUAUCAGAUCACAUGACCAAUAUAGGAUUCAGUUUUGUAUUAUUGUAUUAAAUUUAAGCACUAAAAUGUAAUAUCCCCCAAAUGUUAUAGCUCAGUUACCUUUUGUAUCUAAUAAAUUAGCUUUGUACAUUGAGCUGUCUGUGAAUAUAACUGACUUCCACUGUCCAGAUAUGGACUUAGUCCCAUGCUAUACUACCAGAUUAUGUGAGUAGGCAAAUCUUGUAUAACCUACAUAUCAUACAUGCAGGGCUGCCUUUAGUGAUUUCUGUUGAGAUAAACUUCAUUUUUCAUGCAAAAUGUAGAGGCUAUCACAUGAUGACAGUUCAUGCAGACACUAUAUAAUGAAUCCAAAGUACCCAUUUACCAGCUUCAGAGAAUUUCUCUUCCUGAAGACAUCUUCGUCUACUGGUGUUUCAGACGACUGACUGCCAGUUAACCCGCCACUCAUCAGUCAAGCAAAAGAUUCAGGGAAUCAUGAUGGUUCAGUGCACCUGCUUGCUGCUGCUGCUGCUCUCCACUGCUGUGUUCUCACAAAAUUAUAAGGACUUCAAAGUGAAACACACGCUUGUGGAGGCAAAGAAUAACAAAGAUUGUGCUACUUUGAUGAAAGCUGUCAAUGAACUGGAAAAUUCAAAAAAGACAACUCCACCGGGAAAGUGCAAGGGAAAGAAUACUUUCAUUGACGAAAGUGACGAGCAAAUAAUUCAGAACAUGUGUACACCUGAUUCUGACAAGAAAUUUGUUAACUUACCAUUUAACUCUUUUGACUGUGUGACAAAAGAUAAAAAGGAACCUUGUUCAUACACACAAGAAAAACCUAAUGAGAAAAAGAAGAUA